This 65-nucleotide transfer RNA is filed under the name Trichopsidea sp. RNAcentral describes it as "tRNA-Glu". The record is from RNAcentral. Lineage: Eukaryota; Metazoa; Arthropoda; Insecta; Diptera; Nemestrinidae.
AUUUAUAUAGUUUAAAUAAAACCUUACACUUUCACUGUAAAAAUAAAGACUUUCUUUUAUAAAUU